AUUGAACGCUGGCGGCAUGCCUUACACAUGCAAGUCGAACGGCAGCGGACCUUCGGGUGCCGGCGAGUGGCGAACGGGUGAGUAAUGCAUCGGAACGUACCUUUCAGUGGGGGAUAACGUAGCGAAAGUUACGCUAAUACCGCAUAUUCUGUGAGCAGGAAAGCAGGGGAUCGCAAGACCUCGCGCUGAUUGAGCGGCCGAUGUCAGAUUAGCUAGUUGGUGAGGUAAAGGCUCACCAAGGCGACGAUCUGUAGCGGGUCUGAGAGGAUGAUCCGCCACACUGGGACUGAGACACGGUCCAGACUCCUACGGGAGGCAGCAGUGGGGAAUUUUGGACAAUGGGGGCAACCCUGAUCCAGCCAUGCCGCGUGAGUGAAGAAGGCCUUCGGGUUGUAAAGCUCUUUCGGCCGGGAAGAAAUCGCACGGGCUAAUACCCUGUGUGGAUGACGGUACCGGAAUAAGAAGCACCGGCUAACAACGUGCCAGCCGCCGCGGUAA
This 498-nucleotide ribosomal RNA is filed under the name uncultured bacterium. Its description in RNAcentral is "partial 16S ribosomal RNA". It matches the Rfam family "Bacterial small subunit ribosomal RNA", at positions 30 to 523 of the family's 1533-position model. The record is from RNAcentral.